ACUAAUGAAGUUUUGGAAAGGUAUAAAAAUUUCAAGAAGUUUGACUCUGUUGUUGACCACUCGGAUCACUUCUUUUCAGCGCGUAAUUAUUCUAUGUACCAGCCACCAAAAGACUGGGUCAACGCAAUAAAGGAAGAGUGGAGGAUUCUUGAGGAACAGUUGCCCGAGACCAUUUUUGUGAGGGUUUAUCAAUCAAGGAAAGAUCUUUUAAGAGCUGUAAUUAUCGGGCCAAAGGGGA
Erigeron canadensis is the source of this 238-nucleotide long non-coding RNA. RefSeq lists it as uncharacterized. The record is from RefSeq and is a predicted model, not a curated record. NCBI's taxonomy places the organism in Eukaryota, Viridiplantae, Streptophyta, Magnoliopsida, Asterales, Asteraceae. The transcript is spliced from 3 exons.